UGUUUGAAAAGUGGAAUAAUUAUUAUAAAAUACAUUUUAAAUAUUGGAAUUUUAUAAGCUGCGUAGAAAAUUGAGGAUUUUCAAGGUAGAAAAGGAGAAUUAUCAUUUGAAAAACAGAAGUUUGUGCGUUGUGCUUAUUUCCACGGGAUAGGUAAUACAAAAAUCCCACGACUAAAAUCUUUAGGUGAGCAUUUCUGGGUGAAUCACCCUGUAUUAUAUCAUCGUAUUCGAGGACUUAGAGGACGGCAAUCCGAUCGAUUUUCCUGGGGCCGGAGAAUCCUGUCGAUCCGUUGCUGCGAAUCAUCCCAGAUAAAAUGUGCGACAUCGUCGGGGAACGGUCUUCGUCGUGGCUGCUACAGUAGCAUCAACAGCAGCCGGACCACCCGGCGGUGGCGGAUCGCGACAUCAAUCAUUACACGCGUGGCGGCGGUCCUGCGCACGUGCACGCUCAAGCAUCCACUGGACCAUCCGCACGUGCCGCCCCGAACACGCCACAUGGUACUCAACCGCGGCCCGAAGCGUCGCACUGCAAUCCGGACGUAAUCAUUUCAAAUGGUCCCGUACACGUGUAAUCCCCGGUCCUGUAAAAGCGGUCCGCCUUUUAUUCGCCAGACAAACGACGCGUGACUUACUG
Molecule: long non-coding RNA, 634 nt
Organism: Rhopalosiphum maidis (corn leaf aphid)
Lineage: Eukaryota; Metazoa; Arthropoda; Insecta; Hemiptera; Aphididae
Exons: 5
Source: RefSeq, a predicted model, not a curated record